GGGUUGUGAGGUUAAGCGACUAAGCGUACACGGUGGAUGCCCUGGCAGUCAGAGGCGAUGAAGGACGUGCUAAUCUGCGAAAAGCGUCGGUAAGGUGAUAUGAACCGUUAUAACCGGCGAUGUCCGAAUGGGGAAACCCAGUGCAAUUCGUUGCACUAUCGUUAACUGAAUACAUAGGUUAACGAGGCGAACCGGGGGAACUGAAACAUCUAAGUACCCCGAGGAAAAGAAAUCAACCGAGAUUCCCCCAGUAGCGGCGAGCGAACGGGGAGCAGCCCAGAGUCUGAAUCAGCUUGUGUGUUAGUGGAACGGUCUGGAAAGUCCGACGGUACAGGGUGAUAGUCCCGUACACCAAAAUGCACAGGUUGUGAACUCGAAGAGUAGGGCGGGACACGUGGUAUCCUGUCUGAAUAUGGGGGGACCAUCCUCCAAGGCUAAAUACUCCUGACUGACCGAUAGUGAACCAGUACCGUGAGGGAAAGGCGAAAAGAACCCCGGCGAGGGGAGUGAAAAAGAACCUGAAACCGUGUACGUACAAGCAGUGGGAGCACCUUCGGGUGUGACUGCGUACCUUUUGUAUAAUGGGUCAGCGACUUAUAUUCUGUAGCAAGGUUAACCGUAUAGGGGAGCCGCAGGGAAACCGAGUCUUAACUGGGCGUUAAGUUGCAGGGUAUAGACCCGAAACCCGGUGAUCUAGCCAUGGGCAGGUUGAAGGUUGGGUAACACUAACUGGAGGACCGAACCGACUAAUGUUGAAAAAUUAGCGGAUGACUUGUGGCUGGGGGUGAAAGGCCAAUCAAACCGGGAGAUAGCUGGUUCUCCCCGAAAGCUAUUUAGGUAGCGCCUCGUGAACUCAUCUUCGGGGGUAGAGCACUGUUUCGGCUAGGGGGUCAUCCCGACUUACCAACCCGAUGCAAACUACGAAUACCGAAGAAUGUUAUCACGGGAGACACACGGCGGGUGCUAACGUCCGUCGUGAAGAGGGAAACAACCCAGACCGCCAGCUAAGGUCCCAAAGUCAUGGUUAAGUGGGAAACGAUGUGGGAAGGCACAGACAGCCAGGAUGUUGGCUUAGAAGCAGCCAUCAUUUAAAGAAAGCGUAAUAGCUCACUGGUCGAGUCGGCCUGCGCGGAAGAUGUAACGGGGCUAAACCAUGCACCGAAGCUGCGGCAGCGACACUAUGUGUUGUUGGGUAGGGGAGCGUUCUGUAAGCCUGCGAAGGUGUGCUGUGAGGCAUGCUGGAGGUAUCAGAAGUGCGAAUGCUGACAUAAGUAACGAUAAAGCGGGUGAAAAGCCCGCUCGCCGGAAGACCAAGGGUUCCUGUCCAACGUUAAUCGGGGCAGGGUGAGUCGACCCCUAAGGCGAGGCCGAAAGGCGUAGUCGAUGGGAAACAGGUUAAUAUUCCUGUACUUGGUGUUACUGCGAAGGGGGGACGGAGAAGGCUAUGUUAGCCGGGCGACGGUUGUCCCGGUUUAAGCAUGUAGGCUGGUUAUCCAGGCAAAUCCGGAUAA
RNAcentral lists this ribosomal RNA (1511 nucleotides) under Klebsiella pneumoniae. RNAcentral's name for it is "partial 23S ribosomal RNA". It matches the Rfam family "Bacterial large subunit ribosomal RNA", at positions 1 to 1549 of the family's 2925-position model. Lineage: Bacteria; Pseudomonadati; Pseudomonadota; Gammaproteobacteria; Enterobacterales; Enterobacteriaceae. The record is from RNAcentral.